Molecule: RNA transcript, 6018 nt
Organism: Rhinopithecus roxellana (golden snub-nosed monkey)
Lineage: Eukaryota; Metazoa; Chordata; Mammalia; Primates; Cercopithecidae
Gene: PPP1R3E
Gene name: protein phosphatase 1 regulatory subunit 3E
Exons: 3
Source: RefSeq, a predicted model, not a curated record
CCGGAGGGUGAGUGCCGUUGAGCGCACGCUCAGAGCAGACCGCUAGCAGGAGGCAGGAUGUGAUAGUCUAAGACCCUGGAAGCUGAUGGCCAGAGGGAGGGAAAGGUAGUCACAGAGGAGAGGCAAAGCAACGGGAGGUGGAGGAUCCUGGAGGUGACUGCAAGGAGAGUACGCAGUGGCGAGGGGCUGCAGAAGCGGACCCAGCGACUUCUGCGCCGACGCGGGGCGGGCGGGAGAGAGGAAGACAGGGGAGCGCGGUGGCGCUGCGGGCUGGCCCCGCCGGGGAGGGGGCUGCCAUGUCCCGUGAGCGGCCCCCGGGCACCGACAUUCCCCGCAACCUGAGCUUUAUUGCCGCGCUAACGGAGCGCGCCUACUACCGUAGCCAGCGGCCCAGCCUCGAGGAGGAGCCGGAGGAGGAGCCAGGCGAGGGCGUGACGCGGUUCGGGGCACGAUCCCGCGCUCACGCACCUAGUCGGGGCCGCCGGGCCCGCUCAGCACCAGCCGGAGGCGGCGGGGCUCGGGCGCCCCGCAGCCGUAGCCCAGACACCCGCAAGAGAGUGCGUUUCGCGGACGCACUGGGGUUGGAGCUGGCUGCCGUGCGCCGCUUCCGUCCCGGUGAGCUGCCCAGGGUGCCCCGCCACGUGCAGAUCCAACUGCAGAGGGACGCCCUCCGCCACUUCGCGCCCUGCCAGCCCCGCGCCCGCGGCCUCCAGGAGGCGCGCGCAGCCCUGGAGCCUGCCAGCGAGCCAGGCUUCGCCGCCCGCUUGCAGGCGCAGCGCAUCUGCCUGGAACGCGCGGAGGCGGGCCCGAUGGGCGUGGCCGGGAGCGCGCGCGUGCUGGACCUGGCCUACGAGAAGCGCGUGAGCGUGCGCUGGAGUGCGGACGGCUGGCGGAGCCAACGCGAGGCGCCCGCGGCCUACGCCGGCCCGGCCCCGCCUCCGCCGCGCGCCGACCGCUUCGCCUUCCGCCUGCCCGCGCCGCCGAUUGGGGGCGCCCUGCUCUUCGCUUUGCGCUACCGUGUGACAGGUCACGAGUUCUGGGACAACAACGGCGGCCGUGACUAUGCUCUACGUGGGCCCGAGCACCCGGGCAGUGGCGGAGCCCCUGAGCCCCAGGGCUGGAUCCACUUUAUCUGAGACGAGGCGCCUGCAGCCGACGGCUGAAAACACCAAAGGCACCCGGGGGCGGGGGGACCCGAUGUGGCGGGGAGGAAUAGGAGAGACCGGGAUUGGCGGGGAGCGGUGCAAGGGAGUCAAGCCGAAGAGGGCGAGAAUGGUGGGGAAAUCAGGGACGUGGGGGCGGGGAGGCCGGGGGAGUGGGCGGAACCAACGAAGCUCAGGGAGAUCCGGGUGUUAAAAGCUGGUUGGAUGUGAGUGAAAGGGACCCAGACUGUAGGAGGAAGGAGACCCGAAACGGCACCGGAGGGAUUAGAAAAAAAGGAAAAGAAUGAGGAUGAUGGUGGCUUUCCCUUCAGUGAGUGGGCACUGGGAGAAAGGGAGGAGGAGGUCCAUCAGGCCUAGGCAGUUGAAGAAGGUUAAGAACCUUUUGGAGACGGAGGAGGUAUGAUGUGAAGUAGCCCACCCAGUCGAAGUCAUUUAGAUUGCUGGCGCAUUCCCUCUUCUUACCCACCUUUCCACCUCAGAUCCCCCUGUCCUACCCAUCCUAGCUUUAACUCAGCCAUAAUUGCCUUGCCUAAUCCCAGGAACCUGGCCACUGCUCCUUGGUCCUUGGCAUUAUGACGGGAUUCCCUUGUUACCUCUGACAGUUCCCGGCUGCGGUGUCCGCGGACUGGCUGGGGAGUGAUGACAGGUAGCCAUCAGAGCUCCAGCCUCCAGGCAGCUUUAGGGAUUAAAAUGGAGGCCAAAGCAACUCCAGACCUGUUUUUAUAGCCAAAUACUGUGGUGCCUCAGGGGUUGUACACUCAGGGGCUUCCAGGAAAAUGCCAACCUUACUUUUCUGGGGUGCCUUUUAAUAACCUCCAAGCACUUUAUGGACUGUUUGUCGAGGGACGGUGAAUCAGGAGAAUGACUAUUCUGAUUUCCUUUGUCUCCGAAAAGGAAUUCCCUGACUAGCUAUAUAACUUUGGGCAAGUUACUUCACCUCUUUGUGCCCCAGUUUUUUCCUUGGAAAAUUGGAUUUAGGUUAGAUGAUCUUUUAAGGCUCCUUGUAUGAUAUUUUGUGAUCUGUACAUGGCAGAGUAUAGAUUAGAAGCCACAUUUUGCAACCUAGUGCUAUGAUUCAGAAUACAUAGUACCCCAAGCAUCUGGCUCGGGCCGAGGAUGGGUCCUCCAGUUCUCGGCACAGAAGUUCCAGAGCCCACGAAGCAUCCCAUAACCAACCAUCAGCCCAUCAUCUGCUCCAUUUUGCUCUUGCCCUCACAGACUUUCAGCCUCCAUGCUCUGAGACAACUGUGGAUAGGUACAUCUCUUUUGGUGAAAAUGAUGCUUGAGAACCCAAAAGAUUAAAGGAAAAUGUUAGGGGCUUUUGUGGGGAUAAAAGAUAAUGGGUAUGUGGAAUAGAAACAUUUCAAAUGAAGAAUCAAAACAUUUCAAUCAAUCCACUUGAUUGUAAAAAAACAAAACAAAACAAACAAAUAAAACAGCUAAGCAACUUGAAUAGUAAAUGACACCAGAAGAUGGCAGUCUGCUCCAUAACCAGAGCAAGUGCAGUGGGAAAGCUGGACUCUCAUACCCACUCACAUUCAUGCCUUAUGUCUCCUCCUGGUUAACCUUAAGAGGGGAGUGAUUCCUCUGCUGGCUGCUGUUUUUCCUUUUCUCUUACCCUAUUCCUAACCUCUUUGCUUCUCUCUUUCUUUCCUUGUGUCUCUCCCUUCUCAUCACUUUUUUCUUUUAACAUACAGGGUAUUUACCUUCAUUUUGUCUAUUUCCAUUUGUUUCCUUCUUCAUUCUUGUUCAUCUCUGCUAUUCCUUCUCCCUACAGAAGGGAUGGAAACCCUAUUUUCUUUUCUCCAAGACCAUGGUUGGUCUACUUUCCUCACUCGGGCUCCUUGACAGUCUUCUAGAAGAGAGGAGGAGGAAAAGAAGCAGUUUCUGAUGUUACAAAUGAACAAGGAUCUCCCAGGUAACCAACUCCCCACACCCAUUUCUGUUACUAAUUUCUCAAAGAGAAAUUUCUGGUUCCCCUUCUUCCUUAUCACUGAGUGAAGGGGGACAGGCAUGCACAUGUGCCCAUACAUGCAUUCAGAAUAGAGUGUGGGGGCGGGUGCGAUGGAUCACGCCUGUAAUCCCAGCUCUUUGGGAGGCUGAGGCAGGUGGAUCAUUUGAGGUCAGAAGUUCAAGACCAGCCUGGCCAACAUAGUGAAACCCUGUCUCUACUAAAAAUACAAAACUUUGCCAGGCAUGGUGACUCAUGCCUGUAGUCCCAGCUACUCGGGAGGCUGAGGCAGGAGAAUCACUUUAACGGGGAGAUGGAGGUUGCAGUGAGCUGAGAUUGCGCCACUGUACUCCAGCCUGGGUGACAGUGAGACUCCAUCCCCCACCCCCCAAAAAAGAAGAAGAAUAGAGUAUGGGGCUUGUUACCAUGCCCCUCCUGUCCACAACCUUAGUCUUUGAGAAAAGAUGACUGAAAGAGAGGAACCCUCCAAGUCAUUCCUCAAACAAAUGCCCAUUUAAACAUCAUCCUUGUGAAGAAAACAGGAAGAAUGUCAUGUACCACGUGGAUCACCUUCAGUUCAAAGUUGCAGCAAAGUGAAGAAAGAAACUACUGGAAGCCACCCAGCAAUGCACUGUUUAGUCAUCAAUUAGGAACCCACGGGAGGAUAAUAGGGAGACUGGGUGGAGGCUCAGUUUGUAAUAAUCUCUUGUCUAAUGUAUGUGUGUCACUGCCAUGUUGUAUUAACAAUAGUGAGGGCUCACAUUUACUUAAUACUUGUGUGCUAAAAUCUGUUUUUUCUUUCCAGAACUAUGAUUCGAUCGUAAAAUCUGUUUUGUUUGCGUGCAUGCCCAAAACAACCCUAUGAGUAGAACAUUAUCAUUAUGUAUGUUUUAGAGGUGAGGAAACGGGAUCAGAGAAGCUCAGUGAUUUGUUCAAGAUCGCACAGCUAGUAAAUGGCGGAAGUAGGAUUGUGAACCCAGGGAAUCUCCAGAGCCUCUGUGUAACCAUGAUGUUAUACUUUUUUCCUCUUUAAAAACAAAAUUAAAAACCUUGCUAUAAUCUCUUAUUAUGAAAAGACCGUAGUUUCUGAUUGUGCUCUGCCUUCCCAUCCUGCCAAUCUUCUGGACUGGCUUGGAGAAGACAGGGGGCCCCCAAGCUUCAUCUGUGACUCAAAGGAGUUUGCUCCUGUCUCCUGUGUCAGUGUCCCAUCUAUGCAGGAUCAGCACAGGACCCCCCUCACCUGCCUACUUACACUCUAGCCUUUCCAUACAUUGGAAUUGUCUCCUGGCCCUAGCCAGCACUCCACACCUGUUGGUGUGCCGCCUCCCUCCCUCUUCCCCCACUGGCCUUGAACAGAUAAACCCCCUACUGUUGCCACUAGGUUGGGUCCAUGACUAAGACACCUGCUAGAGGGUCUGUGCUUGGGCCUUUUCUAGGAAUCCUGAUGUUACUGGGUAAGUGCCAACUCUGUGGAGAUAUGCUAAUGAUAAUCCUGUUCCCUAAGCUCUUUCUCUCUGAGAAGUACCCUGGCUCACUCCCCCCAAUCUCAGCUUUAUAGAACAACAUUUUGGUCUUGAUUAUUCCCAUAUUGAGCUGCCCCAAGGCUUGGGUAAGCUGUUAGUUUCCCCACUGCCUCAGGGCUGGGUCUGGCUGAGCUACUUUCUUAUGCACACAAAUAAUGGGUGUCUCCUUGGAACCUGACUUACAUAACUAUCAGUGCUACCAAACCUUGUAAAAUAGGGAAGAAACUAAUAUUUCUUGAGUGGCUCUCUGGAGAGAUUCCCUGCCCUGAUGCCUUUGGUGUGUACUCCUUUCCCAGGACUUCAGCACUGAGAUUUUCCCAACCCCCUGGCUUUUCCUCACUUUGGGUUGAGCUGAUUCAGCACUACCACAAACCCCACCAUCUGCAGAUCAACCAAGAUUAGUCAGUAUGCCCUUUCCGUCUUGCACUGCUCUUCCAAAACUUCCAUCUGUGUUUCUCAUACCCCUAGUAAGCAAAGCUGAGUGUUCUGGGAGAGAGCUGCAUCCACUGCUUUCUCCCAGCCAGGUGCAGUCUAAUCUGACACGGGGAACACUAGAAGUUUAGCGGAAUCUUCAGCCACCCUAUUAAUGUGUUACACAUAGGCAUUGUGGUGGAAACUCCUCUGACGGCUCAUGACUAUAUGAACAGGAGCAAUUUGGAAUAUAACAUGUCAGCUGUGGACUGGGAAGUGCUGUAAGAGAAAACACUACCAGGGUCAUAGGCUUGGGUCCUUGAGGCAAUCCAGCUCUGUUGCCCAUUCCUCUCAUCCAGAUCGCAGCUAUCUUCCUACACCUACCUGUCCCAUAGCUUCCGUCCUGUUUUGUUUGUUUUUCUUUGUGAAUGUAGAAAAACACUGCGAGCCCUAGCUCCUCGGUUUUCCAUCUAACACCUACAUUCCCUUGUUUCUAACUGCUGUUUUUCUGGAGCCUGUUGGGAUCUUUACAGUUUGCAGGUCAUAGAAUCAGACCUGACAAGGCUUCUCUUCAGACAUCAUUGGCUCCAGGCUCCUUUACAGAUGAGAACACAGGUCCAGAGGCGAAAAAGAGAAACAAAAGGCAAUGACAGUAUUCUCUGUGUCCCCAGCUUUGGCACUUUUGUUGAUGUUGCUAAGGAGCAGUGACCUUGCUAAAAAGACUGAAUAAUCCAUCCACUGAAUAGCUAACCUGGGGAGGAACUGAAAAUUUCCUAUGUGAAUCUCCUCAAAUCCAUUGUUGUCACCAGGCCCUCCCAGAGCCUCCCCAGCUCCUUCACAGUGCAACCCUGUGCACUUGGCCCUCAACCCAAUAGUAUUGUGCCUCACUUCGCCUUCCAUGGGCAACUGCCCUCCCUUCUGGACAUAAAACCUCGUAUUUUAAAUAAAGUUGAAAUAUGAAAAGAAAGUA